RNAcentral lists this ribosomal RNA (497 nucleotides) under uncultured bacterium. RNAcentral describes it as "partial 16S ribosomal RNA". It matches the Rfam family "Bacterial small subunit ribosomal RNA", at positions 28 to 507 of the family's 1533-position model. The record is from RNAcentral.
GAUGAACGCUGGCGGCGUGCCUAAUACAUGCAAGUCGAGCGAACAGACGAGGAGCUUGCUCCUCUGACGUUAGCGGCGGACGGGUGAGUAACACGUGGAUAACCUACCUAUAAGACUGGGAUAACUUCGGGAAACCGGAGCUAAUACCGGAUAAUAUAUUGAACCGCAUGGUUCAAUAGUGAAAGACGGUUUUGCUGUCACUUAUAGAUGGAUCCGCGCCGCAUUAGCUAGUUGGUAAGGUAACGGCUUACCAAGGCAACGAUGCGUAGCCGACCUGAGAGGGUGAUCGGCCACACGGGCUCUGAGACACGGUCCCGACACCUACGGGAGGCAGCAGUAGGGAAUCUUCCGCAAUGGGCGAAUGCUUGACGGAGCAACGCCGCGUGAGUGAUGAAGGUCUUCGGAUCGUAAAACUCUGUUAUUAGGGAAGAACAAAUGUGUAAGUAACUAUGCACGUCUUGACGGUACCUAAUCAGAAAGCCCCGGCUAACUACGUG